GUUAAUGAUACCCUAUUAUUUCCGUUCUUCCAGAUACAACAGGUAAAAUAUUGCAAGUAGUAAAAAAUGAGGGACUUUGUAGCAAAGAGAAAAGGUUCUGGAACACUCUAUAGGACUCUCCAGAGGCAUAAAGGUAAAAUGGAAGCUCUUCCAUAAUCCCAGCUUCAUUUCUGUAGCUGCAUACCAGUCUUCAUUCACCGAGUUAACUGAGCCCAGGCAAAGCGAAUCGCUAUGGCCAUAAUUUCAGAUUAUCAGGAGGACGAGAACGAGACGAAGCCGAGAUCGAAUUCAAAUCCGUCAUCGUCUUCUUCAUCUAAAACGCUGUCGUUUAACGCGACGUUCGAUCCAAGGAAUCCUAUAGGGAUUGUGGAGAGGCU
Molecule: unclassified non-coding RNA, 377 nt
Filed under: Hevea brasiliensis (rubber tree)
Lineage: Eukaryota; Viridiplantae; Streptophyta; Magnoliopsida; Malpighiales; Euphorbiaceae
Source: RNAcentral